GGGGGCGUGGCGAAAUUGGUAGACGCACUAGAUUUAGGUUCCAGCGCCGCAAGGUGUAAGAGUUCGAGUCUCUUCGCCCCCACCA
RNAcentral lists this transfer RNA (85 nucleotides) under Acinetobacter baumannii 942194. Its description in RNAcentral is "tRNA-Leu". It matches the Rfam family "tRNA". From Rfam's summary of the family: Transfer RNA (tRNA) molecules are approximately 80 nucleotides in length. Their secondary structure includes four short double-helical elements and three loops (D, anti-codon, and T loops). Lineage: Bacteria; Pseudomonadati; Pseudomonadota; Gammaproteobacteria; Moraxellales; Moraxellaceae. The record is from RNAcentral.